Molecule: ribosomal RNA, 284 nt
Filed under: uncultured Pseudomonas sp.
Lineage: Bacteria; Pseudomonadati; Pseudomonadota; Gammaproteobacteria; Pseudomonadales; Pseudomonadaceae
Description: partial 16S ribosomal RNA
Rfam family: Bacterial small subunit ribosomal RNA
Source: RNAcentral
AACCCUUGUCCUUAGUUACCAGCACGGUUAUGGUGGGCACUCUAAGGAGACUGCCGGUGACAAACCGGAGGAAGGUGGGGAUGACGUCAAGUCAUCAUGGCCCUUACGGCCUGGGCUACACACGUGCUACAAUGGUCGGUACAAAGGGUUGCCAAGCCGCGAGGUGGAGCUAAUCCCAUAAAACCGAUCGUAGUCCGGAUCGCAGUCUGCAACUCGACUGCGUGAAGUCGGAAUCGCUAGUAAUCGUGAAUCAGAAUGUCACGGUGAAUACGUUCCCGGGCCUU